This 253-nucleotide ribosomal RNA is filed under the name uncultured bacterium. Its description in RNAcentral is "partial 16S ribosomal RNA". It matches the Rfam family "Bacterial small subunit ribosomal RNA", at positions 524 to 776 of the family's 1533-position model. The record is from RNAcentral.
UACAGAGGGUGCAAGCGUUGUUCGGAAUUAUUGGGCGUAAAGGGCGCGUAGGCGGUUCGGCAAGUCUCUAGUGAAAUCUCUGGGCUCAACUCAGAGUCUGCUGGGGAAACUGCCGGGCUUGAGUGUGGGAGAGGAGAGUGGAAUUCCCGGUGUAGCGGUGAAAUGCGUAGAUAUCAGGAGGAACACCUGUGGUGUAGACGGCUUUCUGGACCAUAGCUGACGCUGAGGCACGAAAGCGUGGGUAGCAAACAGG